CUUCACCGAGCCCAGCCACAACGGCACUUCACGCCCCGCCCCGUAGGCGGACAGCAAGGCCUGCGCCUC
Molecule: non-coding RNA, 69 nt
Organism: Streptomyces sp. CB02056
Lineage: Bacteria; Bacillati; Actinomycetota; Actinomycetes; Kitasatosporales; Streptomycetaceae
Rfam family: ASpks TB sRNA
Source: Rfam